This 291-nucleotide small nuclear RNA is filed under the name Myotis davidii. RNAcentral's name for it is "7SK RNA". It matches the Rfam family "7SK RNA". From Rfam's summary of the family: 7SK was discovered as an abundant small nuclear RNA in the mid-70s but a possible function has only recently been suggested. Lineage: Eukaryota; Metazoa; Chordata; Mammalia; Chiroptera; Vespertilionidae. The record is from Rfam by way of RNAcentral.
GAUCAUGGUGUGGAUUUGACUGCCACAUCUAUCACCCAUUGCUCUCCAGAGUUCAUUCUGCUCAUCUGACUUGCUAGGUGAGAUCCUUUUUACCUCUCAGGUCUCCAUUAGCAUCUCCCCCAAAGCUCAAUCAAAAAGGAUGACUUUCCCUUAUGGAGAAGAAGUCAUCUGCAAUCAAGGGCACUGAAGCUGCUGAAUUCCCUGGUUAUAAAUACAAAACUAGUUCUGCUUGGUGGUGGUGGUGGGGGAGGGUAAAUAAUUUUCUUUAAUUUGCUAUAUCCAUCUUUCUAU